GAUGAACGCUAGCUACAGGCUUAACACAUGCAAGUCGAGGGGCAGCAUGGAGUUUUCUUCGGAAGACUUUGAUGGCGACCGGCGCACGGGUGAGUAACGCGUAUCGAACCUGCCUCAUACUCGGGAAUAGCCUUGCGAAAGUAAGAUUAAUGCCCGAUGUUCUUGGUGUUCCGCAUGAGGCGCCAAGCAAAGAUUCAUCGGUAUGAGAUGGCGAUGCGUCCCAUUAGCUUGUUGGCGGGGUAACGGCCCACCAAGGCAUCGAUGGGUAGGGGUUCUGAGAGGAAGGUCCACCACAGUAGAACUGAGACACGGUCCAAACGCCUACGGGAGGCAGCAGUGAGGAAUAUUGGUCAAUGGACGGAAGUCUGAACCAGCCAAGUAGCGUGCAGGAAGACGGCCCUCCGGGUUGUAAACUGCUUGUAGUUAGGAAUAAAACGCGGGACGUGUCCCGCCUUGUAUGUACCAUCAGAAAAAGGACCGGCUAAUUCCGUGCCAGCCGCCGCGGUAA
This 508-nucleotide ribosomal RNA is filed under the name uncultured bacterium. RNAcentral's name for it is "partial 16S ribosomal RNA". It matches the Rfam family "Bacterial small subunit ribosomal RNA", at positions 28 to 523 of the family's 1533-position model. The record is from RNAcentral.